This 291-nucleotide unclassified non-coding RNA is filed under the name Hevea brasiliensis (rubber tree). Lineage: Eukaryota; Viridiplantae; Streptophyta; Magnoliopsida; Malpighiales; Euphorbiaceae. The record is from RNAcentral.
UAUUAGAAAAAAUGAGAAAAAAAACAAUUUUAGAUAAUCUAAAAACAUUGGCCCAAAAUAACAUGUUAGUGGUUCUUUUACUAGGAACAGAGGACAAAUAAUAAACAGAUGGCCAAAAUAGAAUGUUAGUGUCUUUUUUGAAAAAAAAUAGGCAAUUGAGAAAUUCUAAAAUAAAGACUCACAUAGCAAUGUUAAUGGUGUUUAAAAAAAUGAGGGGGCAAUUUUAGAUAAAUUGGAAUAUGAAGAGUUCAACAGGCAUUAAAGAUGAGAGAGAUAAUGUGAGAAGAUUGA